This 46-nucleotide microRNA precursor is filed under the name Pteropus alecto (black flying fox). RNAcentral describes it as "microRNA pal-mir-339b precursor". Its record names the gene pal-mir-339b. The record is from miRBase by way of RNAcentral. Lineage: Eukaryota; Metazoa; Chordata; Mammalia; Chiroptera; Pteropodidae.
UCCCUGUCCUCCAGGAGCUUCCUUUCUAGUGGGGGAGACAGGCAAA